Long non-coding RNA from Lolium perenne, 2887 nucleotides. RefSeq lists it as uncharacterized. The record is from RefSeq and is a predicted model, not a curated record. NCBI's taxonomy places the organism in Eukaryota, Viridiplantae, Streptophyta, Magnoliopsida, Poales, Poaceae.
GUAAACUUUGUCUCUCCUAUCAUUUUUUCAUUUUCUACACAACUUCCUGUAGAUUGUCAAAACCAUGCUUCCUGUAGGUUGUCAAAACCACGAGUCAGCGCUCAGAGGUAGGUGGCAGAUUGGUAGAAUUGUACACGCCUAUAAAAGCAAGGCCAUCACCCAUGAUUUUCACCACAAGAUUGAGAGUGUUCUUCUGUACCGUCACCCCCUCAGACACUCACGCAACUGUCGAAAAAUAUAGGGUAAAAUAUGUGAGAAUUUGGGUCUUAUGGUUAUCUCUGAAGGCCAUGGUGAAUCUCCCUCUCAAUUUACAUAGUGUUCCAUUUUGUUCAGAUGGAUUUGAUUAAUUUACUCUCUUAGUGAAUUUUGGAACCAACUUUCUUUGGUUUGGUGUAAUUCUGCUCAAAACGAUCAUUGCUAAGUGCUAGAAACUAUUGUUCACAAUACAUAUGUUCCUCCUGAAGCCAAUUAGUAAAGUAGGACUGGUACAUCCGUUGGUAUUUAUUUUGCCCUGCCCUCCCGGAGAGUAUUCAAUAAUAAAUCCACAGGUUUAUAGCUUCACAUGCAAAAACAUACACACAUUAGGGCAUUGUCUUGCUUACUUGACGCACUUGGCCAUUUUUAUAUAUUUAUUUAUUUGAGAUUUUUUCACUAUACUUAUAGAGAUCCUCAAUGUAAUAUAUGUUUAAAGUUUUUUUUUUCCUGUUUUGUACUUCCAAUAAGAAACAAUUCAAAUUGACCUACUGUAUUUGUUUCGUAUUAUAUAGAUUCUCUAACAUUAGUCCAAUAUUUAUGAAUAAGGUUAUCAUCCCUUUUUGUAGUCUCUUUCAUUAGUUUGGUAUUUCUGAAAUGUUAUCAUCUCUUUUUUGGUGUUUUGCACUUUCGCUGAGAAGCGAUUCAAACUGGCCUGAUAGAUCUUUUUGGCAGUAUAUAAUUUUUCCUUGUAUUGAAUUGCUGCUCAUUCUCAUGCAGGUUGGCAGUCCUAUUAAAAUGCAAUUAGAUGGAUAUCAGUAGCAAAACAUUUAUAUCUAUGUAUGUAUUCAAAGUGGCUCAAUGGUUUUCUUCUGUGUACUUUUUCUGUGUAUUUUCUCUGUGUUAUGGUGCAUAACCUAAUUUCAGUGUGCAAAUAUUUUGCAUGACUAAGCCUUGAGAUCAUGUAGUGCUCAUUGUAUCAAAAUUUCUUAGAGAGAUGUUCCCUCUCCCUUGCUCUUUCCCUCUCUCUCUCGAGCUAAUCACAGGUUAUGGACCAGCUGCCUUGGAGACUAAGCCGGAUAGCAUCAUGGCAAAAGGAGCGGCGGGGGUUCAGGGUGAGCACCUCUGUAGCAUGCCAUUUCCUUCAGGCAGGCCGAGGAGCAGCAGCCUCAGCUUUGCUCAUCCCCAAUUGAAAGUAUGCAGGUUGGAUUUGGUUCCGUGUCAGGGUGAGGAGGGGGUGCAAUGCCUGGCCCGAUUCAAUCUUAUGUGUCUGGCAAUGCCAGCACAGAGCUGCUGGACUGGAAAUAAUUGUGAUGGCCUAUCCACAGAAUUAGCACCCAUUUAGAGGUCAGGGUCUUCAAUCUAGGCACACUAACUAUUAUGUUCGACAAGUCAAUACGUCAGGGAUUACGCGCGGCGGCUGUGGUGAAGGUAUAUUCAUUAGCUCCUUUGUUGCUGACAAUAUUGGAGGCUUUUCAAACGAGGGACACAUGACAAAUGAACUAGCGGUAUUUCCAAUAAAAGUCAAUUAAAGAGGAGCGGAGGGAGUAUUAUAAAUCUUACAAAGGAACUAUUCUCUGUAGAGCUAUAUGAGUAUUCCACACAAAACAUUGUAGCCCUUACCAUUUUUUUCAUAGAUGUUCACGCCAUAUCUUACUAAAAGGAUUCCUGUUGUGAUUGAAGCUGGUUUUCAUCCUGUACACAAGAAGGAGAUCAAGGCCGAGAAAGGAUCUCCAGUGAUGCCACCACCGGCAAGGAAAGUGGAGAUGCAGGGUGCAAUUGGAGCUCCGCCUGGCUUUCCACCGUUGUAGAGCUUCGCUGCGAAAUGGCCAGCUGCACAACCGAGCACGAAAGGCAAUAAAAGAAAGGCCAGGCAAGAAUCCGAAGGGACUAGGUUAGGAAAAACAAAGUGAGGCCGGCACCUGCUGGUUGGGUUUUUGCCUGAGGCCAGGUUUCACCGUCGUUCCAAAUGCAGUCACGAACAACCCUUAUGGUACACUCAAGAGUCCAAAGGCAUUCUGUCAGUACAUCACCGGUGAUUUCCCACAGAAAAUCAUGCUCGGCAACACUGUUGGAGACACAUGGAGUGUUAGACUGGUGGAAUGGAGGAACUGCAUCUUCAUUGAGAACGACAAGGAGCUUAGGAAGUGUGCCUAAGCUGAACCUAGAACCAGCAGUAUCUUACACUUCUAGCAGGGAUGGGCCAGGGAGCCUCAACUCAACACUAUACAGUAGCACUCCCCUAUCGUCAGCAAUCCCAGGGAGUCUGAACUUCAGUGUGCAGAAUUCAACUUCAUCUUACUACUGUACCUUGAUCUGUUGUUGCUAAUUCAGAAGUGGUCUGCGACAGCAAGCUGAUGCAAUUCUCUGUUUUUGUAUGCUGAAACCAUGCGUACAUGCCACUUCAAUAGUUUCAGGCUGAAGCCAUACCUGUAUUGUUGGUGUAAUUGCAGCUCCACAAGAACUACUUGGUGCCCAGUCUAUGAUGUACAUAUCUGAACUCGAAAUGAUGGGUGUCCUUGGUUUUCAUUGUUCAAUAUAGAGCUUUUAUCAAACGAAUGACAACUCCUUAAUUUUGUAUUGAGCCUGGUAUCACUGGAACAAUGAAUUUAUACACUGCUUAAUCAUGGAUAUGACAUAUGACUUCUACUAUGAAGAUACAUUUCUAAACAGGCCAAUAUUUUUCUUACAACUA